RNAcentral lists this ribosomal RNA (101 nucleotides) under Nematodirus spathiger. RNAcentral describes it as "partial 5.8S ribosomal RNA". It matches the Rfam family "5.8S ribosomal RNA", at positions 32 to 137 of the family's 154-position model. From Rfam's summary of the family: 5.8S ribosomal RNA (5.8S rRNA) is a component of the large subunit of the eukaryotic ribosome. Lineage: Eukaryota; Metazoa; Nematoda; Chromadorea; Rhabditida; Molineidae. The record is from RNAcentral.
AUCGAUGAAGAACGCAGCUAGCUGCGUUAUUUACCACGAAUUGCAGACGCUUAGAGUGGUGAAAUUUGAACGCAUAGCGCCGUUGGGUUUUCCCUUCGGCA